Non-coding RNA from Paramuricea clavata, 116 nucleotides. The record is from the annotation of a GenBank genome assembly. Lineage: Eukaryota; Metazoa; Cnidaria; Anthozoa; Malacalcyonacea; Plexauridae.
CCAAUAUCAUGCCAAGAUCUUACAUAAAUCCUGCAAGAUCAUGGAAAGAUCUUGCAUGAUCUUGCAAGAUCUUUCCAUGAUCUUGCAGGAUUUAUGUAAGAUCUUGCCAUUAUCUU